Molecule: ribosomal RNA, 322 nt
Filed under: uncultured eukaryote
Lineage: Eukaryota
Description: partial 18S ribosomal RNA
Rfam family: Eukaryotic small subunit ribosomal RNA
Source: RNAcentral
CCCUUAGAUGUUCUGGGCCGCACGCGUGCUACACUGAGUGGAUCAGCGGGUCAGGUUGCGCGAAAGUGUUUCCUAAUCUUUAAAUCCACUCGUGAUGGGGAUUGACGGUUGCAAUUUUCCGUCAUGAACGAGGAAUACCUUGUAAGCGCGGGUCAUCAUCCCGCGCUGAAUACGUCCCUGCCCUUUGUACACACCGCCCGUCGCUCCUACCGAUUGAGUGGUCCGGUGAGGCUUUGGGAUCUGAGCGGAAAGAGCGUUUCGCUGUUUCUGCCCGGAAAACUCAGUCGAACCUUAUCAUUUAGAGGAAGGAGAAGUCGUAACA